Molecule: ribosomal RNA, 498 nt
Filed under: uncultured bacterium
Lineage: Bacteria
Description: partial 16S ribosomal RNA
Rfam family: Bacterial small subunit ribosomal RNA
Source: RNAcentral
GACGAACGCUGGCGGCGUGCCUAAUACAUGCAAGUCGAGCGGACGAAUCGAAAGCUUGCUUUUUGUUCGUUAGCGGCGGACGGGUGUGUCACACGUGGGCCACCUGCUCUGUAGUCGGGGAUAACCCCGAGAAAUCGGUGAUAAUACCGGAUAACACCAAAUGUCGCAUGACGUUUCGUUGAAAGACGGCGCAAGCUGACGCUCCAGGAUGGGCCCGCGUCGCAUUUGCUAGUUGGUGUGGUAAAGGCUCACCCAGGCGACUAUACGUAGACGACCUGAGAGGGUGAUCGGCCACACGGGGACUUAGACACGGACCAUACGACUACGGGAGGGAGCAGAAUGGAAUGGGCCGCAAUAGUCGAAAGUCUUACGGAGCAACGCGGCGUGAGAGGAGAAGGCCUUCGGGGCGUAAAGCUCUGUUUUUAGGGAAGAACAAGUAUCGCAGGAACUGGCGUGACCGUGACGGUACCUAACGAGAAAGCCACGGCUAACUACGUG